UACGGAGGGGGCGAGCGUUAUUCGGAAUUAUUGGGCGUAAAGGGCGCGUAGGCGGCAUGGUAAGUCAGAGGUGAAAUCCCUCGGCUCAACUGAGGAAUUGCCUUUGAAACUGCCAAGCUUGAGGCCGGGAGGGGGUAGCGGAAUUCCCAGUGUAGCGGUGAAAUGCGUAGAUACUGGGAGGAACACCGGUGGCGAAGGCGGCUACCUGGACCGGAUCUGACGCUGAUGCGCGAAAGCGUGGGGAGCAAACAGG
This 253-nucleotide ribosomal RNA is filed under the name uncultured bacterium. RNAcentral's name for it is "partial 16S ribosomal RNA". It matches the Rfam family "Bacterial small subunit ribosomal RNA", at positions 524 to 776 of the family's 1533-position model. The record is from RNAcentral.